Molecule: ribosomal RNA, 465 nt
Filed under: uncultured bacterium
Lineage: Bacteria
Description: bacterial SSU rRNA
Rfam family: Bacterial small subunit ribosomal RNA
Source: RNAcentral
CUUAAUACGAGAGGCUCAUGACGGUACCGUAAGAAUAAGCACCGGCUAACUACGUGCCAGCAGCCGCGGUAAUACGUAGGGUGCAAGCGUUAAUCGGAAUUACUGGGCGUAAAGCGUGCGCAGGCGGUUAUGUAAGACAGAGGUGAAAUCCCCGGGCUCAACCUGGGAACUGCCUUUGUGACUGCAUAGCUAGAGUACGGUAGAGGGGGAUGGAAUUCCGCGUGUAGCAGUGAAAUGCGUAGAUAUGCGGAGGAACACCGAUGGCGAAGGCAAUCCCCUGGACCUGUACUGACGCUCAUGCACGAAAGCGUGGGGAGCAAACAGGAUUAGAUACCCUGGUAGUCCACGCCCUAAACGAUGUCAACUGGUUGUUGGGUCUUCACUGACUCAGUAACGAAGCUAACGCGUGAAGUUGACCGCCUGGGGAGUACGGCCGCAAGGUUGAAACUCAAAUGAAUUGACGGA